AUCCUCUGCGUGGACGCCGCUGGCCACACCGUCCUCUGUGAUGCUCACGGCCUCUCUGUCCAGCCGGUUCCCUGCCUCAACGAACCCAAGGUUGACAGCCCUGUUUCUUUCUCCAUCACCCGCACCAGCCCGGAAAAUCCCAAUCGCGCGGAAGCUCUUUACGUUCUCGACAGAUUUGUCACGAACCGCAACUCCUUCAACUUCGAGGUACUCAUGUAUGGCAAGAAGACUUGGGAGUGGGUUCGGCUUCCACCGCCGCCCUAUAUCAACAACCCGGCCUAUGACUCCACAUCCAUCCAGUCCUACACUCUCCUGGGUGAUGGCUCCACCAUCUGCAUCUCCUCCCCUCGGCAGAGUCUCGUCGGCACCUACUGCUUCGACACGAUUAGCUGUAAGUGGGAAAAGGCUGGCAGCUGGGCGCUGCCCUUGUAUGGCCGGGCUGAGCAUGUUCCUGAGCUUGGUAACCUCUGGUUUGGCAUGUCCACCGACAACCCCCACAACUUUUGUGCAUUGGACCUCUCCAACCUUGACCAGGCUCCCAAGUUGCUUCAGGACUGGCAAGACCUCGACCCUCCUGAGGAUUGGGUCCAGAUGAGGUGCAGCCUGCUGUACCUGGGCGCGGGCAGGUUUUGCAUAACCAAAUUCUUCAACAUCGGGGACUCAGACAUAGAGGACAACGCAACCGCGGCUGUGCUCACCGGAGUGGAGGUGUUGUGUGGAGUUUCUGGUGGGGAGGUGGUGCACAGAGGGUCAUCGGAACUCCAGAUGAUCAAGCACAAGUCAUUUAUCAGCUAUGAUGGCAUCCGGUGUGUCCUCUGA
This 819-nucleotide ribosomal RNA is filed under the name Triticum aestivum (bread wheat). Its description in RNAcentral is "partial small subunit ribosomal RNA". Lineage: Eukaryota; Viridiplantae; Streptophyta; Magnoliopsida; Poales; Poaceae. The record is from RNAcentral.